RNAcentral lists this ribosomal RNA (504 nucleotides) under uncultured bacterium. RNAcentral's name for it is "partial 16S ribosomal RNA". It matches the Rfam family "Bacterial small subunit ribosomal RNA", at positions 30 to 523 of the family's 1533-position model. The record is from RNAcentral.
AUUGAACGCUGGCGGCAUGCCUUACACAUGCAAGUCGAACGGCAGCAUGGAGAGCUUGCUCUCUGAUGGCGAGUGGCGAACGGGUGAGUAAUGCAUCGGAACGUACCGUGUAGUGGGGGAUAACGUAGCGAAAGUUACGCUAAUACCGCAUACGACCCGAGGGUGAAAGCAGGGGAUCGCAAGACCUUGCGUUAUACGAGCGGCCGAUGUCAGAUUAGCUAGUUGGUGAGGUAAAGGCUCACCAAGGCGACGAUCUGUAGCGGGUCUGAGAGGAUGAUCCGCCACACUGGGACUGAGACACGGCCCAGACUCCUACGGGAGGCAGCAGUGGGGAAUUUUGGACAAUGGGGGCAACCCUGAUCCAGCCACGCCGCGUGAGUGAAGAAGGCCUUCGGGUUGUAAAGCUCUUUCGGCCGGGAAGAAAUCGCACAGGCUAAUACUCUGUGUGGAUGACGGUACCGGCAUAAGAAGCACCGGCUAACUACGUGCCAGCAGCCGCCGCCG